CUUUCUUCCCCUAUUUAUAUAUGAUGGGAACCACUUUUUUAGGUGGUUGUGCAUCUGCCUGAUCACCUGCUUAUUGCGUCAGGAAAGAAUCUUUCCGAUCAGGCCGAAUUGCCUGAUGCCGGGACAGAGUUUCCUGUUGGCCUAUACCAGCUGCAAAUUGUGACACCAACCUCUCCCACCUCUGCUGCGCUGGCUGAGCAGAACACCACUGAAGAGCUGCCUGUGAAACUUGCCAUCUUUCUCCAUCAAGAAUAUUAAGUUCUUAAUUGGGUUGGAGUAAAGAAAAGCAAUUUAGUAAUUAAAGAGAACUCUGAACUUGGAAAC
Molecule: long non-coding RNA, 324 nt
Organism: Mauremys reevesii (Reeves's turtle)
Lineage: Eukaryota; Metazoa; Chordata; Testudines; Geoemydidae
Exons: 3
Source: RefSeq, a predicted model, not a curated record